AGAAAACUCUACUGCUAUAUCUGAAUAUUUAUCGCUAAAAUAUUAAUCACAGCUUGAGUUAUGCAUACAAAGUGACAGCUAUGAAAAGUUGUUUUUGUGCCUUUGCCUUUAGAAAACUAAAAAAAAUAAAGACAGGUUUAGAGGUUUUUUGUUUUUGUUUUUGUUUUGUUGUUUUGUUUUGUUUUGGAUUUUAUGUUACUGGAUCGCCAUAGUACUCUGGGAAACUGAUACUGAUGAACAUUAAUUUAUCUUGUAAAUAUCUAAGAUUCUGUAAUGUCAUAAUCUCUAAUAUAUAUCAUUAUUUCCCUGAAAGCCAAAGAUGUGUUCCACUUCUUACAGUGAAAGGUAUUUUAAUCUAUUAUAGAUUUUUUGUCAUAAUAUUAAUGAGAUGAAUCAUAGUUUUGUUUACUUUUCACUCUUUGAAAAUAUUAUUUUUCUUUCUUGUACUUUCAGAUAAACCCAGAUUCUAGAAUAUUCCAUCUAUCAAUGUCAUUCUGCUUAGAAGAAACCAGUAUUUACUAAGAGUCUUGUUGUGUGUCUCAACAACAUAAUGCAAACAUUUUCUUAUUUUCUCAUAAGUGCUGUUCUUUCUCCAAUCCAGUGACAUAAUGCAAACAUUUUCUCAUUUUCUCCUAAGUGCUAUUCUUUCUCCAAAUCUAGCACCACAAAAGAAACAAAGCAGUAGGCAAUAACAGAAGAAAGAAUUUCCAGUUAGUAAUAAUAUGCUUCUGCUUCGUGAUUUGCUGUGUGAUUUGUGUUAUUCUGUGUUAGGGCUGGAAAUAGCUUAAAGCUUUAUCCAGGCUAGCCCCUUCAUUUUACAGAAACAGAAAGAAGAAUCCAGAAAGAUGACAUGAGUUUGCCAACUCAACAUAAUCAAAGAUGUGAUCUUUCUUUUGUGUCUCAGUAUGUAUGAUAUUACAUAUUUUGGAAAUUAGCCUGCAUAGUAUGUUUUUAAAAUAUAUAUUCAGUAAUCCCAAAAGAAAUAUGCCACAUUUUAUUUUGUUGAAACAAGUAGGAAAAUAUAUACUCUUCAUAGUUAAAAUGCAUAUUGAAACUUGAGCUUUACCAAUUUUUUUUUCUAGAUGAUCACUCUGUCACCAGGCUGGAGUGCAGUGGCAUGAUCUCGGCUCACUGCAGCCUCCACCUCCCAGAUUCAAGCCAUUCUUCUGCCUCAGCCUCCCGAGUAGCUGGGAUUACAGGUGCGCGCCACCACACCCAGCUAAUUUUUGUAUUUUUACUAGAGAGGGAUUUCACCAUGUUGGCCGAGGCGGGCAGAUCACUAGGUCAGACGAUAGAGGACCAUCCUGGCUAACACGGUGAAACUCCGUCUGUACUGAAAAAAAAAAAAAAAAAAAAAAAAAAAAA
RNAcentral lists this long non-coding RNA (1365 nucleotides) under Macaca mulatta (Rhesus monkey). RNAcentral's name for it is "lncRNA (ENSMMUG00000049434.1)". Lineage: Eukaryota; Metazoa; Chordata; Mammalia; Primates; Cercopithecidae. The record is from RNAcentral.